GUUUCUGCUGGGCAUACUGGCUGCUUGUCUUAGUGCUUCCAGAGCCCCAUGAAGGCUGGGUGUGAGAAGAUUCCCUGCCAGGGCAGAGCAGGGAGUGAAGACUGGCCUCAGUUCUGCCUGGGUUCUAUCUCCUGGCAAUCUGGGCAAGAUUUGUGCCAGGUGUCAGGCUGCUUUAAGUGCUUUCUGGACCACCAGCCCAUUUACAAACCUCUGCAGCAGGGCCAGUUACCUCUUCUCCAUAAGAUGUUUCAGAGCAACACUUGAGGACACCUUUGAGGGGUUACUGAGAUGUCAGAUUGAUCACUUAUUUGUGGCAUGUUUUGGAGCUUCAUGUGAAAGUAGACUAGCUGAGCAGUCCAACUGCUUUUGCCAAGCACUCCUUGUGCUUCCUACACCUGCUUGGCCCAUCUCUUCCAGACCAGCCUGCUCUCAAACCUCCCUCUUACCACCAAAAGCAACAGAUGCAGCUCCUGUAGUCCAUCCAUCUCUGUGAUGAGCAGCCAGAUCCCACCUGGCACUGAUUCAGAGUCUCAUCCCAUCAAGGUAAAAAGUUUUCUCCCAUUGAAAGACUGGCAAAAGCUUAACACAUAGUGCUCAUUGGAAAAAGAGCCUGUUCUGCUCUCCCUUGUGCUGUCCCCUUGGUGUGCCCAGCCCCUGGCAGUGAGCACCUGGAGAUUUUUCACACCUAAUCUAAUCUAAUGUGGAAGCACUUCAUUCUUUGCUUCCUGGGCUUGUAAAUAAUAGAUGGGUGAGGCCAGGCUGGCAGUAGUACCCCCAUAAGCAGCUGUUUGGAGCACCCCAUGCUCUCAGUCCCCAUCCUGGGGCUGGCUGUCCCUCUCCCUGCUGCCUUGCAGGGGGUGGCCAGGUCCCAACAGCACCAAAACCUGAGCAGGGUUGUGGGGUGAUGGGGAGAAGCCCAGAGGGAGGGAGGGAGCCUUAAAUAUUCUGUCUGCUCUAUCUUCUGGGAGAUAAUACUUUUAAUUUUCGGCACACAAAGAAUAUGUCCUGAACCAGAAGGGGUUUGCCUAAUUCAUCAUGCUUGCUUUCCACACAAUACCAGGGAUGACAAGCAUAACAUUUUAAAAUGAGAGAAGUGGACAUAAUUAAUGCUCAUGAAUUGCAAACGCUUCUUUAUUAAAGGGCUCCUGCUUG
RNAcentral lists this long non-coding RNA (1152 nucleotides) under Coturnix japonica (Japanese quail). RNAcentral describes it as "lncRNA (ENSCJPG00005020571.1)". The record is from RNAcentral. Lineage: Eukaryota; Metazoa; Chordata; Aves; Galliformes; Phasianidae.